This 497-nucleotide ribosomal RNA is filed under the name uncultured bacterium. RNAcentral's name for it is "partial 16S ribosomal RNA". It matches the Rfam family "Bacterial small subunit ribosomal RNA", at positions 28 to 507 of the family's 1533-position model. The record is from RNAcentral.
GAUGAACGCUGGCGGCGUGCCUAAUACAUGCAAGUCGAGCGAACAGACGAGGAGCUUGCUCCUCUGACGUUAGCGGCGGACGGGUGAGUAACACGUGGAUAACCUACCUAUAAGACUGGGAUAACUUCGGGAAACCGGAGCUAAUACCGGAUAAUAUAUUGAACCGCAUGGUUCAAUAGUGAAAGACGGUUUUGCUGUCACUUAUAGAUGGAUCCGCGCCGCAUUAGCUAGUUGGUAAGGUAACGGCUUACCAAGGCGACGAUGCGUAGCCGACCUGAGAGGGUGAUCGGCCACACUGGAACUGAGACACGGACCAGACUCCUACGGGAGGCAGCAGUAGGGAAUCUUCCGCAAAGGGCGAAAGCCUGACGGAGCAACGCCGCGUGAGUGAUGAAGGUCUUCGGAUCGUAAAACUCUGUUAUUAGGGAAGAACAAAUGUGUAAGUAACUAUGCACGUCUUGACGGUACCUAAUCAGAAAGCCACGGCUAACUACGUG